AGGCAGCACAAAAUUCACACGAAC
This 24-nucleotide non-coding RNA is filed under the name Arabidopsis thaliana (thale cress). Lineage: Eukaryota; Viridiplantae; Streptophyta; Magnoliopsida; Brassicales; Brassicaceae. The record is from RNAcentral.